RNAcentral lists this ribosomal RNA (415 nucleotides) under uncultured prokaryote. RNAcentral describes it as "bacterial SSU rRNA". It matches the Rfam family "Bacterial small subunit ribosomal RNA", at positions 355 to 763 of the family's 1533-position model. The record is from RNAcentral.
UCGGGAAUCUUGCACAAUGGGCGAAAGCCUGAUGCAGCAACGCCGUGUGGGCGAGGAAGGUCUUCGGAUCGUAAAGCCCUGUUGUUGGGGACGAAGGGCGAAGGGUUAAUAGCCCCUAGCCUGACGGUACCCUUCGAGGAAGCCCCGGCUAACUACGUGCCAGCAGCCGCGGUAAUACGUAGGGGGCGAGCGUUGUCCGGAAUUAUUGGGCGUAAAGAGCGUGUAGGCGGCCCGGUAAGUCUGCCGUGAAAACCUGGGGCUCAACCCCGGGCGUGCGGUGGAUACUGCUGGGCUAGAGGAUGGUAGAGGCGAGUGGAAUUCCCGGUGUAGCGGUGAAAUGCGCAGAGAUCGGGAGGAACACCCAGGGGGAAACCAGCAUACUGGACAGGACCUGACACUCAGGUGCGACAGCGUG